ACGGGUGAGUAACACGUGGGUAACCUGCCCAAGAGACUGGGAUAACACCUGGAAACAGAUGCUAAUACCGGAUAACAACACUAGACGCAUGUCUAGAGUUUAAAAGAUGGUUCUGCUAUCACUCUUGGAUGGACCUGCGGUGCAUUAGCUAGUUGGUAAGGUAACGGCUUACCAAGGCAGUGAUGCAUAGCCGAGUUGAGAGACUGAUCGGCCACAUUGGGACUGAGACACGGCCCAAACUCCUACGGGAGGCAGCAGUAGGGAAUCUUCCACAAUGGACGCAAGUCUGAUGGAGCAACGCCGCGUGAGUGAAGAAGGGUUUCGGCUCGUAAAGCUCUGUUGGUAGUGAAGAAAGAUAGAGGUAGUAACUGGCCUUUAUUUGACGGUAAUUACCUAGAAAGUCACGGCUAACUACGUGCCAGCAGCCGCGGUAAUACGUAGGUGGCAAGCGUUGUCCGGAUUUAUUGGGCGUAAAGCGAGUGCAGGCGGUUCAAUAAGUCUGAUGUGAAAGCCUUCGGCUCAACCGGAGAAUUGCAUCAGAAACUGUUGAACUUGAGUGCAGAAGAGGAGAGUGGAACUCCAUGUGUAGCGGUGGAAUGCGUAGAUAUAUGGAAGAACACCAGUGGCGAAGGCGGCUCUCUGGUCUGCAACUGACGCUGAGGCUCGAAAGCAUGGGUAGCGAACAGGAUUAGAUACCCUGGUAGUCCAUGCCGUAAACGAUGAGUGCUAAGUGUUGGGAGGUUUCCGCCUCUCAGUGCUGCAGCUAACG
Molecule: ribosomal RNA, 769 nt
Filed under: uncultured bacterium
Lineage: Bacteria
Description: bacterial SSU rRNA
Rfam family: Bacterial small subunit ribosomal RNA
Source: RNAcentral